UGUGGAAAUGAUGCACUUAGGGAACUUUCCUCUCCUGGGAAAAGUGGUAGCAUCUUUUUCUUGUCUCAAGAUGAUCGCUUCAUGAUUAAGACGCUCCGGAAGUCUGAAGUACAGGUUUGUGGAGUUUGCUGAAAGAAUAUUAAGUGCCAAACUUGUCUUCGUCAUUUACCCUUUCCUUUAUCUGUUUUUGAGUGGGUGAAAUUAUGAAGGAAACUUUGAAGCUUGAGCCUAACUCCAUAGAUACCUCGUAUGUAUUGGUAAAAUAUACAAUUAAUAGGUAUAUUUUAGUCAAGAUGGUAUUUUUACUAAAGAUAUAUACUCUCUCCCAGGUCCCAUGUAUUGGUGCUAUGUAUGACAUUGAUACCAAUUUUAUUGUUUGAGUAUGUUAAAUAAGUCAUGUAUCUUCUGUCAGAAAAUUUUCCCCUCAAUCUGCUAAUUGAAAAGGCAACUGAAUUCCAGGUUGGUGGAAAGUUUAUGAUCUGGGAUUCUACAAAAAAUUCCUACCAAUUAAAAGUUGAACAAUUAAUUUGAAAUCCAAGAUAAUGUGUAAAGAAGAGAUAGUGUGGCUAAUAAAUGGUCCCAUUUUUUGUUUGCAAAUUCCAAGGAAAUGGAUUUUGUGUGCCUUUAGAAUUAAUUGGUAGUUAACCAAAGGACCAUAAAUGUUAGAUCGCUACUCCUGCUUAAGUUCAUGCACUCAUCAUUCAAUACUGCCUCGCUCAUGAGAUACUUUGAUACUAGUGGGGGGUAUUCUUAUAUUUAUUGAAAUCAUCGAUUGCUUUUAAAUCAAAUCCUCUGGAUUGCAGGAUUCGUGCCAUAGCAUGGAUUUUUUUUUUUUUAUUU
RNAcentral lists this unclassified non-coding RNA (840 nucleotides) under Hevea brasiliensis (rubber tree). Lineage: Eukaryota; Viridiplantae; Streptophyta; Magnoliopsida; Malpighiales; Euphorbiaceae. The record is from RNAcentral.